CCUACGGGAGGCAGCAGUGAGGAAUAUUGGUCAAUGGACGCAAGUCUGAACCAGCCAUGCCGCGUGCAGGAAGACGGCUCUAUGAGUUGUAAACUGCUUUUGUACGAGGGUAAACUCAGAUACGCGUAUCUGUCUGAAAGUAUCGUACGAAUAAGGAUCGGCUAACUCCGUGCCAGCAGCCGCGGUAAUACGGAGGAUUCAAGCGUUAUCCGGAUUUAUUGGGUUUAAAGGGUGCGUAGGCGGUCGGAUAAGUUAGAGGUGAAAUCCCGAGGCUCAACUUCGGAAUUGCCUCUGAUACUGUUAGGCUAGAGAGUAGUUGCGGUAGGCGGAAGGUAUGGUGUAGCGGUGAAAUGCUUAGAGAUCAUACAGAACACCGAUUGCGAAGGCAGCUUACCAAGCUACGUCUGACGUUGAGGCACGAAAGCGUGGGGAGCAAACAGGAUUAGAUACCCGGGUAGUC
This 460-nucleotide ribosomal RNA is filed under the name uncultured bacterium. Its description in RNAcentral is "partial 16S ribosomal RNA". It matches the Rfam family "Bacterial small subunit ribosomal RNA", at positions 338 to 795 of the family's 1533-position model. The record is from RNAcentral.